Molecule: ribosomal RNA, 468 nt
Filed under: uncultured bacterium
Lineage: Bacteria
Description: partial 16S ribosomal RNA
Rfam family: Bacterial small subunit ribosomal RNA
Source: RNAcentral
GACGAACGCUGGCGGCGUGCUUAACACAUGCAAGUCGAACGGAAAGGCCCUGCUUUUGUGGGGUGCUCGAGUGGCGAACGGGUGAGUAACACGUGAGUAACCUGCCCUUGACUUUGGGAUAACUUCAGGAAACUGGGGCUAAUACCGGAUAGGAGCUCCUGCUGCAUGGUGGGGGUUGGAAAGUUUCGGCGGUUGGGGAUGGACUCGCGGCUUAUCAGCUUGUUGGUGGGGUAGUGGCUUACCAAGGCUUUGACGGGUAGCCGGCCUGAGAGGGUGACCGGCAACAUUGGGACUGAGAUACGGCCCAGACUCCUACGGGAGGAAGAAGGGGGGAAUAUUGCACAAUGGGCGGAAGCCGGAUGCAGCAACGCCGCGUGCGGGAUGACGGCCUUCGGGUUGUAAACCGCUUUCGCCUGUGACGAAGCGUGAGUGACGGUAAUGGGUAAAGAAGCACCGGCUAACUACGUG